Molecule: long non-coding RNA, 352 nt
Organism: Drosophila arizonae
Lineage: Eukaryota; Metazoa; Arthropoda; Insecta; Diptera; Drosophilidae
Source: RefSeq, a predicted model, not a curated record
UAAGUACUAGUCAGCAGUUAAUGCUUUUUAUAUACGAAUAUAUAUAUUUAUGAUAGUUAUAUAUAUUUAUAAUACUAUGCGUAGCAAUCUGAUAGACAACAAUGAGGUGCAAAGUUAUUUUGUUCGGCAUUUGGCCAAAUAUGAAAUCAAAUCAUUCACCAGCGAAUAAAUAAUGGAAGAUUGCUUCAACUUAAAUGCUAAUUAAAUUUACGGAAAAUAAUAUUUGACUAUUUGGCUGGACUGUUUCGCUGUUGUAGUUGUUGUCGUUGUCGUUGUUGUUGGUGGUAAUGAUCGUUGGUAACGUUGCGUGGGCUUCUUUCGAUCUUUUCAUUUUAGGAUCUUUUCAUUAUAA